GGGGAAUAUUGGACAAUGGGCGAAAGCCUGAUCCAGACAUGCCGCGGGUGUGAAGAAGGUCUUCGGAUUGUAAAGCACUUUAAGUUGGGAGGAAGGGUUGUAGAUUAAUACUCUGCAAUUUUGACGUUACCGACAGAAUAAGCACAGGCUACCUUCGCCAGCAGCCGCGGUAAUACGAAGGGUGCAAGCGUUAAUCGGAAUUACUGGGCGUAAAGCGCGCGUAGGUGGUUCGUUAAGUUGGAUGUGAAAGCCCCGGGCUCAACCUGGGAACUGCAUCCAAAUCUGGCGAGCUAGAGUACGGUAGAGGGUGGUGGAAUUUCCUGUGUACCGGUGAAAUGCGUAGAUAUAGGAAGGAACACCAGUGGCGAAGGCGACCACCUGGACUGAUACUGACACUGAGGUGCGAAAGCAUGGGGAGCAAACA
Molecule: ribosomal RNA, 424 nt
Filed under: uncultured Pseudomonadaceae bacterium
Lineage: Bacteria; Pseudomonadati; Pseudomonadota; Gammaproteobacteria; Pseudomonadales; Pseudomonadaceae
Description: bacterial SSU rRNA
Rfam family: Bacterial small subunit ribosomal RNA
Source: RNAcentral